RNAcentral lists this ribosomal RNA (205 nucleotides) under Azilia guatemalensis. Its description in RNAcentral is "partial 18S ribosomal RNA". It matches the Rfam family "Eukaryotic small subunit ribosomal RNA", at positions 374 to 577 of the family's 1831-position model. Lineage: Eukaryota; Metazoa; Arthropoda; Arachnida; Araneae; Tetragnathidae. The record is from RNAcentral.
GGUUCGAUUCCGGAGAGGGAGCCUGAGAAACGGCUACCACAUCCAAGGAAGGCAGCAGGCGCGCAAAUUACCCAAUCCCGGCACGGGGAGGUAGUGACGAAAAAUAACAAUACGGGACUCUUUUGAGACCCCGUAAUUGGAAUGAGUGUAUUCCAAAUCCUUUAACGAGGACCCAUUGGAGGGAAAGUCUGGUGCCAGCAGCCGC